CUUUGCAUAUUCAUGAAGCGCAGAGAGAGAGGAUGGAUGCCCGCACAAGCCGUGGGGAGGUAAUGAAUUAUUCAUGAGGAGCGUCUCGCCCCGCCCAGGGGGGGGGCCUCAUUGAUUAUUCAUGAGCCAGAGGAAGGGCCGUUGAGCCCCGCUCCGAGGGAGGCGUCGACCGGUUGAGGUUAGAUUUGUUGAAAGAAUCCUGAUACAUUCCUAUAAUGGCCACAGCUCAGCUCUCUCACUCCAUCAGAAUUCACAAGGCAUCUAAGGAAACAGUUUUCCCAUCGCAAAUCACUAAUGAGCAUGAAUCAUUGAUAAUGGUGAAGAAACUUUUUGCUACUUCUAUCUCAUGUAUAACAUAUCUAAGGGGCCUGUUUCCGGAGAGCUCUUAUGGAGAACGCCACUUGGAUGACCUCAGUUUAAAAAUCCUCCGAGAAGAUAAAAAAUGUCCUGGGUCACUGCAUAUUAUCAAAUGGAUUCAAGGUUGUUUCGAUGCUCUGGAAAAGAAAUACCUACACAUGGCAAUACUUACACUUUACACAAAUCCCAAGGAACCUGAGAAAGUGACUGAGAUAUACCAGUUCAAAUUCAAAUACACAAAAGAAGGAGCCACUAUGGAUUUUGACAGCAGUAGUACAAGCUUCGAAAGUGGGACAAGCAGUGAAGAUAUUAAGAAAGCCAGUGUUCUACUGAUCCGUAAAUUGUAUAUACUGAUGCAGAACCUUGGACCCCUUCCUAAUGAUGUUAUACUUACUAUGAAACUCCACUACUAUAAUGCGGUGACCCCACAUGAUUACCAACCCCCUGGUUUUAAAGAAGGGGUAAACUCACACUUCCUGCUGUUCGAGGGAGAGCCCGUAAACCUGCAAGUGGGAUUGGUCUCCACUGGCUUCCAUAGCAUGAAAGUAAAAGUCACAACCGAGGCCACCAGAGUGUCUGAUUUGGAGAACAAUCUCUUUCAGGAGAACAGCACUACCGAAAUUGCCCAUCAGGGUCUAGACUGUGACGAGGAAGAAGAAGAAUGCAACAAUCAUAAAUAGCUGUGGUCCAGAACCCUGGUCAUAAACUACAGAAAGUCAAGAAAGUAAAUGAAUGAGAAAAUUCUUCAUAAAUUCCAGUAAAACGUGAGACAGUUCCCAACAUAUCAGAGAGCUCACAGCUCCACUGGUGUUGGAGGUACCUUCCAUGUCGUUUCAUGAUUCAGUGUCUUUAAAUGAGCUGAAUCUUCUGCCCAGAAUGACCUCGUCCACCGCCAUCACCCCUACCACCAUCUCCAGUCUGGUGAACUCCUACUCAUUCUACAAGACCCAGCUCAAUGUUCCUCUUCUGCUAAGAAGCCUUCUCUAAAUUCUCCAGGUUGUAGUGGUCACUCCCUCUUGACUUUUAUAAAACUUUGUAUACUUGCUCUCUCAAUUUCUUUUAUUUUUUAUGCACUCUUCAACUGACUUCACCGUGACUUCUGCCUCCACCAGUCCAAUGCACCUGAUAGCCUCCAUGUAGCUAAAUCAAGUGGCCAUGUUUCAGUCUUCAUCUUCCUUGACCUCUCAGCAACACCUGACACUAUUGACUACCACCAUCACUCCUUUUUAUUCUCCCCUCCCUCUUCUUAAAACUUUCUUCCUGUGGCUUUCUUUACAUGACAAUUUGCUGGUCUUUUCUCUCUCUUUCUCAAUCUCCUUUGUUGGCUCAUCUUUCACUUAAUUUCUAAAUGUUGGAGUUGCUUAAGGCUGUGUCCUGGCCCCUUUCCCUUCUCACGCUCUGAUCUCUCAAUAAGCAAACUCUUCCACACCCAUGGCCUUAAUUAACCUCCAUAUGCUGAUGACUCUCAAGUUUAUAUCUCCAAUCAGACCUCUCUCCUGAGCUCCAGACUUCCAUAUACAGCUACCUAUUCAAUAUGUCCACUUGGGGUUUCACAGGUACUCAGCAGGUUCAAAAUUCCAAUUGUUCUCUACCUGAGAGAAUAGAACCUUCAUCCAUGAAGUUAGCUAAACCAGAAACUGGGAGUUAUUAUUGACCUAUCUACCUCUCCUUUAUCAUCAUAUCCAAUUGCCCAUCCUUCUGACUCUACCUUCUAAAUAUUUUUCUCACUGUUAACUUUUUUCCGUCUACACUGCCACUCAAGUUAUCACCUGACUACUACAAUAGCGUGACUCAUCACCCUGCAUCCACUUGAUGCCUCCAAUACAUUUCUACACUGCAGGCAGAGUGCUCUUUGAAGAGUCCUUCAUUUGUUCGUCAAAAAAACAUUUAUUGAGCCCCUACUAUGUGCAAGUUGUGACCAAGACAGGCAUGUUCCUGAUCUCCUGGAACUCUAUUAAGAGCAUGUGAUUGGGGGACCUAAUUUAAUUGGAACAGAAGUAGGGUAACUUUCUUUGAGGAAAUAAUUUUUCAUCUAAGAUCUGAAGAAUGAAUAGGAUUAACUAGGCCAAGAGAGGGCUGGUGGAAGGGAAAGAGCAUUUUAGGCAGAAGGAACAUAAUAUGCAGAGAUCCGGAAUCAGGAAGAAGCAAGGUAUGAGAAAACUGAGAGGGCAGAGAGUGAGAGUAGAGCACAGGAGAUGAGGCUGGUACUGCUGGGCACAGACAGGCCCUGUGGGGUAGUGACUCUAUUGGGAAGAACUCAGGAGGCCUAGGAGCCUCCUCAAAUGGCCUGCUACAGUGGGUGAGUAUGUGAGUGGAGAUAUGAGCAUUUUUCUGAGGAGAGAGUGCUUGGCUUUCAUCAGGGUCUUAUAGCCAAUCUGUGAGCCCUCUCCUUCCCUAGAAAUGUAAAGAACCCCUGACAGUGCAUGAAAAGCCAAGGUAAGGACUUUGGACUUUUUCCUAAAAGCAGUAAGAUGCCAUUGGAUAUUAUUAAGCCAAAAAGUAACACGGCCAGAUUGUAAAAUCUAUAGGGCAGGAUUCUUAUCUCUUUUGUUCAUUAAUGUGUCCCAAGCACCUAGAAAAGUAUCAUGCAUAGAGCUGACACUCGAUAAAUAAUUGCUGAGUGAAUGAAAGUCUAUUGUGGCUAUUGAAUGGAUGUCAAUUAUGUUGUAUUACAUUAUAUUGUAAUUGUGUGCUUAAUGCCUUUCCUUACAAGACUCAAUCCUUGAAAACGACUGUGUCUUAUUCAUCUUUAUAUUACUAGAGAUAUGGUACUAGUACCCAGAGCAGUGCCUGGCUUAAAAUCAGUAUCAAAACGGAUUCAUUCAUUCAGCCAAUAAUUUAAGAGGCACCUACCAGAUGCCAGGAACUGGGAAUGCAAAGAUGACUAAGAUAUUGUCACUAACCUCAAGGAGUUUGUACUCUAGAUGAGAAGACUGAGUUGAAUGUGCUGAAUUCACUAAAGAGAGCCAGGAAGCUGUCCCUGAAACUGGCUGCCUCCAGGGGACAUCAGCUCCUGAAACUUGGAAUACCGGCCUCUGAUACUGGCAGGAGGGCCUCUGUGCAGGGCCAAACCGCCCACAGGAAAGCAGAUUCAAAGAAUGGAUUUUAUGUGCAGUCAGCAAAGUUCUGAGAGCUCCAGGAAGAAGAGGAAGGUCAGCGAACCAGUGAAAGUCUUCAUCCCUGACAGAAAGUGAAAGUUAGAUGCCUCUGUUACAUUUAUUCUAAAAUGAUUUUAUUUUGCAACAAACAUGCAUGAAGUGGCUUAGUAGGAAAGUAAGUUUCUAUCACCAAAACCUUUUACUAAAUUUGUUGCUCAACUUUUUUAGUCAAUUUACUAAGUGCUGAAUUACCAGGUAGGACAUGGGGUCACCUUGCCACAGGGAAAAGAAGUGCCAGGGCUGCCUUGGGAUAGCAUUACUUCAAGGCUGAAUUAGAGAUGAGACACUCUUUAUAUUUGUAAAAGAACCACAGUAACUAUUUUGAGAAGAAAUAAGCUGUUGUUCUCAAAGGAGAGAAGGGUUCUCUUUGCAUAAUUAAACUCCCCAGGUAUUUAGACUACUGUGAAAUGUUUUAACUUGUUGUAACCUGUGUACUGGAAUCCCUCUAUAGCUUUAUUAGAAUUGUCAGAGAAUUACAUAGGAUGUUUGUGGUGGUGCUUAUCUAAGUGUGAUUUUUGUGUUAACUUCAAUCACGAAGUUGAUCAGCUAAGUGUUAAGCCAAAAUGUACUCUCCCUGUAAAGUUCCUCAAAUCUGGCCCUUGGCCCUGUUCUGUUGGCAAACCUGAGACUGGGAAAUAGGCUGCAGUGCGGGGGGCCUGGCUCCCAUCUUAAGACCAAUGUUGAAUGCUUCCCACCAAGCAUUUCAGUUUAUCAGUCUGUAACCUGAAAAUGAUGUUACUAGUCCCCUCCUUAUUCUGGAAGAGUUUUUAUAGACAUUGAUUAGUAUCAGAUGAAUAGUAAAUGACUUAAAAGUGUUAUUUUUGUCAUUUAUAUAACAUGGAAUUUAAUAAUUUAAUUUAAAUGGAUAGGACCAAUAUGUUAAAUGUUAAGUGUGUGUGCUUUCUGGUUAAAUAAACCAAAAUGCAAGGUAUUUUUUUGCUUGUCUUUUUUUCUUCACUUAGAUCAGUGUUUCUCCAAGUGUAGUAAGGACAUCAGCACCUGGACUGCUUGUUAAAAUACAGAUUACUGGGCCUGCCUCAUUUCUACUAAACCAAAAUCUCAGGGGUGGAGCCCUGUGUAAAACUCCCUGGAUUCUAAUGCACACAAAAGUUUGAGAACUCUGGACUUCUGGGCCAGACUAAGAGGAGAAUCUCUGGGGCCAGACAUGCACUUAAGCCAGCAGAAGGCUGUGUGUUACUGUAACAGAAAGGAAAAUCUGACGGAGCCUGCCUGUCCAGCACUGCCCUUUGUCAGACUCUGAUCCAUCUCUGACUGCCAUAGGCAGCCUACAAACUGGGGUCUUGAAUUGGGCUGUAGUACCAGGGCCUGCUGGGAAGGAACAUUUUCUCUUCUCCCAGCAUAUUGAGUAUACUCACAUAAGCUUGUUCUGCCACUGAAAGGGAAAAGAGGGGAAAGGCAUUGGGUUUAUUAUAUCCUUGAUAGAAUUGUAGCCUGAGUCACCACAAUUUCUUUUAAGAGAAUCAUAUAAAGAGAUUAGCUGUCUAGUAGAGGGAUUAGGUUUAUUUUGUGUCUCUCUAGAGGGUAGAUCUAAGACCAAAUUGGUGAAAGCUACAGGAGGUCAUUUUGGCUCAGGAUAAGGAGGAACUUUUUACCUUCUCAGGCUGUCAAACUUUUGAAAUCAGGAUGCCUCGUAAGGGAGUGAGCAUACCUUCACUACCAGUGUCUGAACAUAAAGGAGCUUUACAAAGACUCUAGGAGUCUUUGACUCUCAAAGCAAAUUAGUUAUAUGGAGUAAUUAGUCACUCUGGAUUUCAGAAGGACCCAUUUUGUUUAAAAGAGAAAUUUAGCUCUCAAUCUAUAUUUAUAAUUUACGUAAACUUAGCCCAAGUUUGAUAGAUCCUCUACGUCAAAGUCUAGUAUCUGAAUCUGUCUAGAAAUUUUCCAUAGUGAUUUUAUUGUCUCAAUACCCCUCUCCCCCAACAGAACAGUCUUUUAUCAAUGCCAGUAGGUGGAAUGUGUAUGUCUGAUGCAGUGUGUGUGUGAGGCAGCAGAAAAAAGUUACCGGGCCUAUGCUCUUGGCUGGGCACACUGGGAAGGAGAUCUGUUAACAAGAGGAUCUGAGAACCGUGAAAAUGUGAACUAGCUGAUUUUACACAGCAGAGCUCAUAGAUGCAACCAGCCAUCAAGAUUGGAGGGUAUCCAAUUCUGUUUACUGAAUGAUUCAUUAGGAGGAAAAAAGUCCUUUCUCUAGUCUAUUCAUUUCUGUCCUUAAUAGUAAUAGAAUGAGUAAACACAAGUUCAUGAAGGAGCUGGAACUUCAGUGAAAAGAGUGAAAACUUGACCCCAAGCUGAGGAGCCUGAGCUGUGCCACACUAGCCAUUCCCUAACCCUGACUGUGCUUGUUCAUCGGUAUGACUACAAAGAUCAGAUGACGAUAGCUUGGAAACUGGGACAUUGUUAAAUUAAAAAUCAUGCAGGGGAAAUUUGACUUUGGCUGGUUGGGGUUUUUCUGUCUUUACAGAAAGUUGGUCUAGCUGGAAAGAGAUGGGUUAGGCUCUUGAUUGCCGCCAGCCUUUGAAGCCAGGCACCGAAAC
Molecule: non-coding RNA, 6070 nt
Organism: Equus caballus (horse)
Lineage: Eukaryota; Metazoa; Chordata; Mammalia; Perissodactyla; Equidae
Source: RefSeq, a predicted model, not a curated record